GACGAACGCUGGCGGCGUGCCUAAUACAUGCAAGUAGAACGCUGAAGCGAGGAGCUUACUCUUCUUGGAUGAGUUGCGAACGGGUGAGUAACGCGUAGGUAACCUGCCUUGUAGCGGGGGAUAACUAUUGGAAACGAUAGCUAAUACCGCAUAACAAUGGAUGACACAUGUCAUUUAUUUGAAAGGGGCAAUUGCUCCACUACAAGAUGGACCUGCGUUGUAUUAGCUAGUAGGUGAGGUAAUGGCUCACCUAGGCGACGAUACAUAGCCGACCUGAGAGGGUGAUCGGCCACACUGGGACUGAGACACGGCCCAGACUCCUACGGGAGGCAGCAGUAGGGAAUCGUCGGCAAUGGGGGCAACCCUGACCGAGCAACGCCGCGGGAGUGAAGAAGGUUUUCGGAUCGUAAAGCUCUGUUGUAAGUCAAGAACGGGUGUGAGAGUGGAAAGUUCACACUGUGACGGUAGCUGACCAGAAAGGGACGGCUAACUACGUG
RNAcentral lists this ribosomal RNA (497 nucleotides) under uncultured bacterium. RNAcentral's name for it is "partial 16S ribosomal RNA". It matches the Rfam family "Bacterial small subunit ribosomal RNA", at positions 28 to 507 of the family's 1533-position model. The record is from RNAcentral.